UAAACGUCCCAGUUCGGAUUGUAGUCUGCAACCCGACUACAUGAAGCUGGAAUCGCUAGUAAUCGCGGAUCAGAAUGCCGCGGUGAAUACGUUCCCGGGUCUUGUACACACCGCCCGUCACACCAUGGGAGGUCGGAAAUGCCCGAAGCCGGUGACUCAACCUUUAAGGAGAGAGCCGUCGAAGGCAGGUCUGAUAACUGGGGGUGAAGUCGUAACAAGGUAGC
RNAcentral lists this ribosomal RNA (224 nucleotides) under uncultured bacterium. RNAcentral describes it as "partial 16S ribosomal RNA". It matches the Rfam family "Bacterial small subunit ribosomal RNA", at positions 1277 to 1500 of the family's 1533-position model. The record is from RNAcentral.